Molecule: small nucleolar RNA, 129 nt
Organism: Acomys russatus (golden spiny mouse)
Lineage: Eukaryota; Metazoa; Chordata; Mammalia; Rodentia; Muridae
Product: small nucleolar RNA SNORA17
Exons: 1
Source: RefSeq, a predicted model, not a curated record
CCCACCCCUAGAGGCGGUACAGGUAUAGUUGCUGUGUCACGUGUGUGUCAGUAGGUGGCAGAGAGGAGAGAGGCUGUGUCUGUCAGUGUUGUCAUCUAUGAACAUCUGAAUGAUCAGUAGCCUAACAUU